This 454-nucleotide ribosomal RNA is filed under the name Peptostreptococcus stomatis. Its description in RNAcentral is "bacterial SSU rRNA". It matches the Rfam family "Bacterial small subunit ribosomal RNA", at positions 28 to 449 of the family's 1533-position model. Lineage: Bacteria; Bacillati; Bacillota; Clostridia; Peptostreptococcales; Peptostreptococcaceae. The record is from RNAcentral.
GAUGAACGCUGGCGGCGUGCCUAACACAUGCAAGUCGAGCGAGGGUUUGCUCAGUAUUGAGUAUUCUAAGAUUAGAAUGUUCAAUUCUGAGCAAAACCAAGCGGCGGACGGGUGAGUAACGCGUGGGUAACCUGCCCUAUACACAUGGAUAACAUACUGAAAAGUUUACUAAUACAUGAUAAUAUAUAUUUGCGGCAUCGCAGAUAUAUCAAAGUGUUAGCGGUAUAGGAUGGACCCGCGUCUGAUUAGCUAGUUGGUGAGAUAACUGCCCACCAAGGCGACGAUCAGUAGCCGACCUGAGAGGGUGAUCGGCCACAUUGGAACUGAGACACGGUCCAAACUCCUACGGGAGGCAGCAGUGGGGAAUAUUGCACAAUGGGCGAAAGCCUGAUGCAGCAACGCCGCGUGAACGAUGAAGGUCUUCGGAUCGUAAAGUUCUGUUGCAGGGGAAGAU